This 73-nucleotide transfer RNA is filed under the name Candidatus Woesearchaeota archaeon. RNAcentral's name for it is "tRNA-Gln". It matches the Rfam family "tRNA". Rfam says of the family: Transfer RNA (tRNA) molecules are approximately 80 nucleotides in length. Their secondary structure includes four short double-helical elements and three loops (D, anti-codon, and T loops). The record is from RNAcentral. Lineage: Archaea; Nanobdellati; Candidatus Woesearchaeota.
AGCCCUGUAGUAUAGUGGCCAAGUAUGGCUGGCUCUGGCCCAGCAGACCCAGGUUCGAAUCCUGGCAGGGCUA